UUUUUCAUGUUGUGUAUAUGACUGGGAUCUUAGUUGUACUGUAAACUCUUGAUCUUGCAAGCGCCUGUUGAUAUUUUGUAGUGGUAAUUUUUUUCCUACAUGUUUCAUUUGUUGAUAUUUC
Ipomoea nil (Japanese morning glory) is the source of this 121-nucleotide long non-coding RNA. RefSeq lists it as uncharacterized. Lineage: Eukaryota; Viridiplantae; Streptophyta; Magnoliopsida; Solanales; Convolvulaceae. The record is from RefSeq and is a predicted model, not a curated record. The transcript is spliced from 3 exons.